Molecule: long non-coding RNA, 507 nt
Organism: Bombyx mori (domestic silkworm)
Lineage: Eukaryota; Metazoa; Arthropoda; Insecta; Lepidoptera; Bombycidae
Exons: 2
Source: RefSeq, a predicted model, not a curated record
AACGAUAAUAAAUAAAAAAACAUAAUAUAUUUUUGCGUUUGUCAUCAAGUCAUCAUUUUGAUCAGUAUAUUUCUGUCAAAAGUCAUUACAUAAUAUCUGUACUUAUCUAUUCGGAAUGCUCUGUAUUUUCUUACUAUAAUAAGUAAGUCAAAAACAUAAUUAUUUAAAAUUAAGAAUUUGGAAUCUAUGCUAACUCUUUUAACAUGUUUCUAGAUGAGCUAGUAAACAUCUCAAAUGGUGAAAUAUAUGCCAAGGAAUUUUUUAAAUUACCUACUAAAACACAUACACUGCUACUGCGAAGGUCUAACAAAAAAAAAUAAAGGACAUUCUAGAACAGCCAACACAGAUACCAGAACGCGCGCGAAAUUCAUGGAAUUGGCAUUUGGGCAUGAAGAAUGUAAAGAUACAUUAAAGUGAUGCAUGAUACUUUGUGUUGCAUGUACUUUUAACACAAAACAUUGCUUUUAAUAUUUUACUAUUAUUAUAUGUAAUAUUUUACAAUUAUUA